GUUCAGAACGAACGCUGGCGGCAGGCUUCAUACAUGCAAGUCGAGCGAUAAAAGCCCUUUCGGGGGUGUAUAAAGCGGCGAACGGGUGAGUACAGGGUGGAUAAUCUGCCUUCCGGUGGGGAUAACGGCUGGAAACGGCCGCUAAUACCGCAUGCGGUUGCCGGGUUCGAGGACCUGGCAAAGAAAGAGGCUUCACGGCCUCGCCGAAAGAUGAGUCCGCCCCCCAUUAGCUAGUUGGCGGGAUAACAGCCCACCAAGGCGACGAUGGGUAGCCGAGCUGAGAGGUUGAUCGGCCACACUGGGACUGAGAUACGGCCCAGACACCUACGGGUGGCAGCAGUAGGGAAUAUUGGUCAAUGGGCGAAAGCCUGAACCAGCCAUGCCGCGUGAGUGAUGAAGGCCUUCGGGUCGUAAAACUCUUUUCCGAGGAAAGAACGACCGGGGUAGGAAAUGACCCCGGUGUGACGGUACCUCGGGAAUAAGCAACGGCUAACUCCGUGCCAGCAGCCGCGGUAAUACGGAGGUUGCGAGCGUUGUUCGGAAUGACUGGGCGUAAAGGGAGCGCAGGCGGUUUGGCAAGUCUAAAGUGGAAGCCCGGGGCUUAACCUCGGAAGUGCUUUAGAAACUGCUGAACUCGAGUUCGUGAGAGGAGAGCGGAAUUCCAGGUGUAGCGGUGAAAUGCGUAGAUAUCUGGAGGAACACCGGUGGCGAAAGCGGCUCUCUGGCACGAUACUGACGCUGAGGCUCGAAAGCAUGGGGAGCGAACAGGAUUAGAUACCCUGGUAGUCCAUGCCGUAAACGUUGUGCACUAGGUGUGGGAGGUAUCGACCCCUUCCGUGCCGUAGUUAACGCAUUAAGUGCACCGCCUGGGGAGUACGGUCGCAAGACUGAAACUCAAAGGAAUUGACGG
Molecule: ribosomal RNA, 910 nt
Filed under: uncultured bacterium
Lineage: Bacteria
Description: bacterial SSU rRNA
Rfam family: Bacterial small subunit ribosomal RNA
Source: RNAcentral